GAUGAACGCUGGCGGCGUGCCUAAUACAUGCAAGUCGAGCGAACGGACGAGAAGCUUGCUUCUCUGAUGUUAGCGGCGGACGGGUGAGUAACACGUGGAUAACCUACCUAUAAGACUGGGAUAACUUCGGGACACCGGAUAUAACACCGGAUAAGAUUUUGAACCGCAUGGUUCAAAAGUGAAAGACGGUCUUGCGGUCACUUAUAGAUGGUUCCUCGCUGCAUUAGCUAGUUGGUAAGGUAACGGCUUACCAAGGCAACGAUGCAUAGCCGACCUGAGAGGGGGAUCGGCCACACUGGAACUGAGACACGGUCCAGACUCCUACGGGAGGCAGCAGUAGGGAAUCUUCCGCAAUGGGCGAAAGCCUGACGGAGCAACGCCGCGUGAGUGAUGAAGGUCUUCGGAUCGUAAAACUCUGUUAUUAGGGAAGAACAUAUGUGGAAGUAACUGUGCACAGCUUGACGGUACCUGAUCAGAAAGCAACGGCUAACUACGUG
This 497-nucleotide ribosomal RNA is filed under the name uncultured bacterium. Its description in RNAcentral is "partial 16S ribosomal RNA". It matches the Rfam family "Bacterial small subunit ribosomal RNA", at positions 28 to 507 of the family's 1533-position model. The record is from RNAcentral.